ACUCGGUGGUUCAGUGGUAGAGUGCUCGCCUGCCACGCGGGCGGCCCGGGUUCGACUCCCGGCCGACGCA
RNAcentral lists this transfer RNA (70 nucleotides) under Paragonimus westermani. Its description in RNAcentral is "tRNA-Gly". It matches the Rfam family "tRNA". Rfam says of the family: Transfer RNA (tRNA) molecules are approximately 80 nucleotides in length. Lineage: Eukaryota; Metazoa; Platyhelminthes; Trematoda; Plagiorchiida; Troglotrematidae. The record is from RNAcentral.